UGGGGAAUCUUAGACAAUGGGGGAAACCCUGAUCUAGCCAUGCCGCGUGAGUGAUGAAGGCCUUAGGGUUGUAAAGCUCUUUCAGCUGGGAAGAUAAUGACGGUACCAGCAGAAGAAGCCCCGGCUAAAUACGUGCCAGCAGCCGCGGUAAUACGUAUGGAGCGAGCGUUGUCCGGAAUUAUUGGGCGUAAAGGGUGCGCAGGCGGCUUUACAAGUUGGAUGUGAAAUAUUGUGGCUCAACCACAAACGUGCAUCCAAAACUGCAAAGCUUGAGUUAAGGAGAGGUAAGUGGAAUUCCUGGUGUAGCGGUGGAAUGCGUAGAUAUCAGGAGGAAUACCGGUGGCGAAGGCGACUUACUGGACUUAAACUGACGCUCAGGCACGAAAGCGUGGGGAGCAAACAGG
This 404-nucleotide ribosomal RNA is filed under the name Fusobacteriota bacterium. RNAcentral describes it as "Fusobacteria bacterium partial 16S ribosomal RNA". It matches the Rfam family "Bacterial small subunit ribosomal RNA", at positions 355 to 776 of the family's 1533-position model. The record is from RNAcentral. Lineage: Bacteria; Fusobacteriati; Fusobacteriota.